AGUGAACGCUGGCGGUAGGCCUAACACAUGCAAGUCGAACGGAUCCUUCGGGAUUAGUGGCGGACGGGCGAGUAACACGUGGGAACGUGCCCUUUGGUUCGGAACAACUCAGGGAAACUUGAGCUAAUACCGGAUGUGCCCUUCGGGGGAAAGAUUUAUCGCCAUUGGAGCGGCCCGCGUCUGAUUAGCUAGUUGGUGAGGUAAAGGCUCACCAAGGCGACGAUCAGUAGCUGGUCUGAGAGGAUGAUCAGCCACAUUGGGACUGAGACACGGCCCAAACUCCUACGGGAGGCAGCAGUGGGGAAUCUUGCGCAAUGGGCGAAAGCCUGACGCAGCCAUGCCGCGUGAAUGAUGAAGGUCUUAGGAUUGUAAAAUUCUUUCACCGGGGACGAUAAUGACGGUACCCGGAGAAGAAGCCCCGGCUAACUUCGUGCCAGCCGCCGCAGUAA
This 449-nucleotide ribosomal RNA is filed under the name uncultured bacterium. RNAcentral describes it as "partial 16S ribosomal RNA". It matches the Rfam family "Bacterial small subunit ribosomal RNA", at positions 29 to 523 of the family's 1533-position model. The record is from RNAcentral.